Molecule: ribosomal RNA, 430 nt
Filed under: Babesia occultans
Lineage: Eukaryota; Apicomplexa; Aconoidasida; Piroplasmida; Babesiidae
Description: SSU rRNA
Rfam family: Eukaryotic small subunit ribosomal RNA
Source: RNAcentral
AGAGUACCAAUUGGAGGGCAAGUCUGGUGCCAGCAGCCGCGGUAAUUCCAGCUCCAAUAGCGUAUAUUAAACUUGUUGCAGUUAAAAAGCUCGUAGUUGAAUUUCAGCGUUUCGCGUGUGCCUCUUUUGGCCCAUCUCGUCUCGCUUUUUUUAUUACUUUGAGAAAAUUAGAGUGUUUCAAGCAGGCUUUUGUCUUGAAUACUUGAGCAUGGAAUAAUAGAGUAGGACCUUGGUUCUAUUUUGUUGGUUUUGUUACCUUGGUAAUGGUUAAUAGGAACGGUUGGGGGCAUUCGUAUUUAACUGUCAGAGGUGAAAUUCUUAGAUUUGUUAAAGACGAACUACUGCGAAAGCAUUUGCCAAGGACGUUUCCAUUAAUCAAGAACGAAAGUUAGGGGAUCGAAGACGAUCAGAUACCGUCGUAGUCCUAACC